ACGCAAGGAAAGGACCCAAGUGAGGGAAACGGGGAUGACAUUAAGAGACUUGAGAAGUACCCUUGAGUAUCGAGGAGGCUUGUCGGAGGAGCUAUGAGCGAGGAAGUGUGUCGGCACAUUUAAACAAAUAAAAGAGGGGUAAUGAUGCAAAAAUACAGCUGGACUCUACAAAUGUAAAAGUUCCUUAUUGUAUAUAUUUAGUCUGCUGCAAUAUCUAUCUAUCUAUCUCUAUCGGUAUAUACUGAGGAAGUUGGAACACCUACUCGUGGAAAAGUUAGUCUGUGUGACAAACUUGCUGAGCUGGACUGAGGUCAUGACGAUGCCAGUUGACUCCAUCCCACGCUGAGUCAUUGAAAAACUCCCUGGCUGCAUUUGCUGUGUAUUUUCCGUUCGUCCUCCUGGAUUGUCCUAAAAUUGACAAGACUACUUGAAAAAUGGGGGACCAGUUGCUUCGCUGUUCACCAAGCACGGCAGAUAAAGCUAUUUAAACCAAGUCAUAGAUGAAACUAUCUAUGAUAUCUUAAUCUUAAUCUAUUUAUGUUAAACUAAGUGGGGUCUGAAAAGCACCUCUUUGGUUUGGUGAAAUACUUUAACGACAUUCAGAGAUAUUCCACGUUCAUCAGUGCUGCAACUGCAUCUUCCUAGAGUCCCAGUAGAGUUCGGCAAAUCUUUAUCUCUGAUUUGUAACUGGACUGCUUUGAGUUUUCUGGCGUAUUGGACCACAAUCAAAAUAGCCAUUAAUAAAAAGCCCAUUAGAAUUAGUGAAAUAUACAUUUUAGAUCAAAAGUUAAGAGUCUUUGUGUCAGGACUGACCUGGCCAUGGAUCUCAUGCCUUAAAGGGAUGGUUUGAAACAUUUGAAGUGUGUUGUAUGAGGCACUUAUAGUACGUGUUACCUGCAGCAGAUGGAGGUCAGCACGCCUCCAGUUUACAGAAACAAACAGGAACACCAGCAUGAAAGCUAAGCAAUGUACUGCUGUGGACGGGGACAGCAGCACAACCUAUUUUAGCCACCUAAAAUAAAUGGCCAUCUAAAAAAAACCAAAUCUGGCUCUAAGCGUACGAUGUGUUUAGAGUAUUCCAGUGUUAAAGUGGGCUGGUACUUACCGGUACGCAGUACGGGCACUUCUACAUUUGACUCUUGGGCGUACCAUGACUUGUUCCUGAGCACCUCUUCUCUCUCUGCACAUCAGCUUCACUGGCUCAUCAUUCCAACGUUUGGAGCCUCAUCUCUACAAGCUGGAGCACACACAGCACGGCAUAUAUCGACUCAUUCUUCAUGUUCUUUUUGUAAAUUGUAAACUGUUCAUCAGAACUUUUUAUUUGUGAACAAAUAUAAUCAAGUAAACAUUAUUUAAAAGUUUUCUGAAUCGGCUCUUUUGAUUUACAGAAUAUGAUUUUACAGGGUAAACUUUUCCACAGGAAUUAAAUAUUCAGAUGAAGGCUGUAAAAAUAAUAAAAUAAUAAUUCAGCUAUAACACAUUUAGUCUUUAAGCAUUCAGGGCUUUAUCUAGCAAUAAUAAUCUUCCAAAAUGAUGUAAAAUCACAUACUUUCACGUCAGAAUUCUUCAAAUUAUGAAUUCUCUUUUUUUUCACUGUAGUAAUUCAGAAUGUGUCUUUAUCUUGCUGCAUAAUAUGUACGAGCAGCAUACAUUCUAGAGCAAUAGAUAGGUGACAUAUAACAGGAAAGCCCUGUUUCAGUUUAAUAUUACUGGAGUAUUAUAGGCCGACUAUAGAACAUGCAUGGCCCAGGUAUAAUAUAUCGAUAAAGUCCCAAUGAUGACUGACAGAAGGCUGAACAUGUGAAAGAAUAAAUGAGUAGGAAUAAGGAGAGAGACAGUCAGAGGUUGCUGGUGUUGGCCGAUGUGAACAGCAUGUGAAUAAGUGGAGUAGUGGCACUCACUGGAAUAUUCCGACGGGGAACUGAACUGAAAAUGAAACGUAUCUAUAUUAUCUUUGACUUUGGAGUCUGGUGGCUUUGAAGAGAGAAUAAGUUUCACUUUCAGUUCAGCUUCCUGUUGCUGUCUGACAUUAAGGUAAAGAGGUGUAAAUAUUCUAAAUAUAGCGUACAUUGAUUGACUUUUGAUCUUUUAAGUGGCUAAAAUGUGUUUUUCUGCUGGUAUAUUGCUUUACCUCUGUGUUGGUACUCUUGUCUGUCUAAUAGGUAAUGCCGCGAUUAUGAAUUAGUACCUCAUACAACUCCAAAUAAUCCAAACUAUGCCUUUAAGAUCUUUAGUGAGCAUGGCACCUGAGUGAUGUUUGUGGAACAGAUGUAUUGCUCCCAGAGUGACUCAAGUGAUGUUUUUUCUCCACCUUUCAUCAGUCAGGACAUGUCUGUGAGGAUGGAAAUGGAUAUUAAUGGAGUGUCAAGGGCACAUGUCUCCAUUCUUCCUACAUCUGAAAUCAAAGCCACAUUGAAACCAGAAGCGGAGAGACCUCGCUGUGCCAGCACCCCGUGUUCACCUAUCAGAGGUACUGUUUCAGGGUACCAGAUCCUCCACAUGGACUCAAACUAUCUGGUAAGCUUCACCACUGGCGAGGAGCUGCUCAAGCUGGCCCACAAGUGGUCAGAAGGCACUCCAGAGAAGGGUUCUGUAUCGGAGGCCAUGACCAGCUCCGUCGAGAGCGCUGUCCCCAACUCUGUUGACUUGGGCAUCCACCGGUCUUCACGAAUCUGCAAAGGUAAAAGCCGCCACUACCAACCCUACGACAUUCCUACUACCAACGGGCGGAGACGGAGGCGUAUGCCCAGCUCGAGUGACACCUUCCUCAGGUCCCUGGCCCACGGGGAGCCUGGGAGGGGUCUGCAUGCUCCACUACCCCUCUGUCUGCUUAAAGGGAAGAGGGCCCAGUCCAAGUCUCUGGACUACCUUAAUCUGGACAAAAUAAGUAUCAAAGAAUCAUCAGACACUGAGGUGUUACAGUAUCAACUACAGCACCUCACCCUGCGAGGGGAGCGCAUGUUUACCAGAAACAAAACAUGAAGGCACAGCGGAACGCGCUCUUUAGGCGUCUUUCACCCUUUUGGGGAUUUAGGUGCUUUUUCCAGCUCUGUUGUUUAAGAAGUCUGAACUCUUGUUAUAUGAUCAACAUAAGAUCCUUUUAUCACUCCUCACAUUGUAAUGAGGUUGUUGAGGUUCAAAAAAUGUGAAAGAUAUAAACUGAGCAAUAACUGGUGAACCUAUUUAUUGACAGUGUUGUGUGUUUAUACUGAUGCAUUGAUACAUCAGCUGAAAAGGCACCAUUUCUAUCAGUCCAUUAAUAAUUGAACUGCUUAUCUGUGAGGAGUUUUGUUAGUGGAAGUUUUUAUUUUUUAUUUUGUUUUAGGUUAUGGCACUGCAUACAACUGUCAACAUGUAUUGAUUUAUUGAGAUAAGUCAAUAUCAAUGUGUUUCUAAACCUCUUGUUCACCAGAAGAUGGGCAUCUUUAAAAAAGCAAAGUGUGUAUAUAGCUGGUAAUUCAUGCGUUUCCGCCUCAUUGCACCUGAUUGCACCGUUGGAUAUCUGUGAAACGUCAGUGCCCCUUAACACCGUCACCACCAUGGCACCAACGAGGCAUUCUCAGUAAACACUGCAAUAGUGAAGACAAGCAAGCCAUGUGAACACUUCCAGGUGUGUGCAACAUUGUGUGUACACUCCUUGAGUUUCUGCACAUUUUGUUGCGCUGCUUUGAAAGGAAAAUGUGAUUUUUUUUUUAUUACAUUAAAAAUUCAAUUUAUUUCAUGAACAUGUGAUGUAUGAAGCCUCUGUGCCAAAUGUGUAUGUGAUAAUAGCAUGUUUCAAAUUGUUCUGAUGUAGAAAAUGAACUCAUCUGAGUAUAAUAGGUACAGUGUGUGUGUUAGGGUUAACCCUAACCUGGGAGGAUGACAUGUUCUCAGACAUAGCGGCUUUACAUAUAGAUUAAUUUCUGUCUAUAACACAUAGUGCACCUUCUUCACAUUUGAAUCAAUGUUAAGAACAUGAAUGUGAGAUUUAAUGAUUUUGGAUAUGUGAGUGAAUAGUAUACAUCCACAUUGAAUGAAUGUUCUAAUGAUCAAAAUGUUCUUUAUGCCCCGCCCCCACUGUAAGUCAAUGCAUUGUCAGAUCAAGAGGAAGAGCAUGAGAGACCUUCUUUUUGAAGUGUACUUCUUUCCACUAUUUACACACCAAAAAACCUGAGAGGAAAUGCUAGAUAUUUGAAAAAAAAGUGCAAAAGUUAGUGUAUCAAUAAAUGCAAAAUGUGACAAUGUAAACGGACGCGGUGAAGUAAUCAUGACAUGAAGCAUGUGACAUCCACUGAAGAGACCAAAGAUUGCAGCAGACAAAAACAUCAGGACUGUGUGGAGCGAUGACUCAAAUGAAUACAUGAAAUGCCAUAUUUUCAUUUUAAUUAUCCUAUCUCGUUGUCUUCUGUCCUCUGCAAUGGUUUAUGGCACCUGACUGGAGAAUUAACACCACCAACUUUUUAUCUUACGCCCAAAUAUUUGCAUCACAGUAGUGGAUGGAAACACAUAUUAUUUCACAUUUUCUUUUGUUGAUGUCUUGUACAUUUGCACUAAAUCUGGAUGGACAACAGUCAUAUUCUAACCAUAUAUUACGUACAAAUAAUUUCAAUUGAAAUGUUAAUUAAAUGUUAAACAGCUACCAAUGUUGAUCAAAUCAAUAGUGGUCAAAAAUAUCCACAACUGCCAAGCACAGCCCUUAUUUUGAAAAAACGUUCAAAUGAUUUAGACUUUCUUUUUUGACAUUUUUAAACUUUAAAACUUUCGGGGUGUACAAACCAUUCCACUGUACUGUAUGUAAAGUCACUCUUAUGCACUUCUAUUGAUUCCUUAAGCCAAACAGAAAAUGUACACUUGAUGUUAACCAAUGACUGUUAUAUGAUUAAAGCUUAUUUCAAACUAA
Molecule: RNA transcript, 4882 nt
Organism: Anarrhichthys ocellatus (wolf-eel)
Lineage: Eukaryota; Metazoa; Chordata; Actinopteri; Perciformes; Anarhichadidae
Gene: macir
Gene name: macrophage immunometabolism regulator
Exons: 2
Source: RefSeq, a predicted model, not a curated record